This 800-nucleotide ribosomal RNA is filed under the name Nocardioides sp. Its description in RNAcentral is "bacterial SSU rRNA". It matches the Rfam family "Bacterial small subunit ribosomal RNA", at positions 62 to 877 of the family's 1533-position model. The record is from RNAcentral. Lineage: Bacteria; Bacillati; Actinomycetota; Actinomycetes; Propionibacteriales; Nocardioidaceae.
UCGAGCGGAAGGCCACUUCGGUGGUACUCGAGCGGCGAACGGGUGAGUAACACGUGAGUAAUCUGCCCCUGGCUUCGGGAUAGCCACCGGAAACGGUGAUUAAUACCGGAUAUGACAUGGACUCGCAUGGGUUUGUGUGGAAAGUUUUUCGGCCAGGGAUGUGCUCGCGGCCUAUCAGCUUGAUGGUGAGGUAAUGGCUCACCAUGGCUUCGACGGGUAGCCGGCCUGAGAGGGUGACCGGCCACACUGGGACUGAGACACGGCCCAGACUCCUACGGGAGGCAGCAGUGGGGAAUAUUGGACAAUGGGCGGAAGCCUGAUCCAGCAACGCCGCGUGAGGGAUGACGGCCUUCGGGUUGUAAACCUCUUUCAGUACCGACGAAGCGCAAGUGACGGUAGGUACAGAAGAAGCACCGGCCAACUACGUGCCAGCAGCCGCGGUAAUACGUAGGGUGCGAGCGUUGUCCGGAAUUAUUGGGCGUAAAGGGCUCGUAGGCGGUUUGUCGCGUCGGGAGUGAAAACGCCGUGCUUAACACGGCGCUUGCUUUCGAUACGGGCAGACUAGAGGUAUUCAGGGGAGAACGGAAUUCCUGGUGUAGCGGUGAAAUGCGCAGAUAUCAGGAGGAACACCGGUGGCGAAGGCGGUUCUCUGGGAAUGACCUGACGCUGAGGAGCGAAAGUGUGGGGAGCGAACAGGAUUAGAUACCCUGGUAGUCCACACCGUAAACGUUGGGCGCUAGGUGUGGGGUCCAUUCCACGGAUUCCGUGCCGCAGCUAACGCAUUAAGCGCCCCGCCUGGG